ACGGAUGUUGCUGUUUAGUUUUCUAUUCCCACUAAACACUGGAUAGAGGCUGAAUAGCAUUCUUUGCCUUACCCUCUGAAUGGCCAUUCAGAGCACGCGAUUGCUGCAAGAGGAGGGAUGGAGACUUUGAAGCCUGCUUUAUAAAGCUUAUACAUAACAAGGGCUUCUGCAUAUAGAAAUGCUCUUAAGAGUUUCAUAGAAGAAUAUCAAGAAGGUAUCCAGUAGAUCAUGGGUAAAAAGGAAGAUUCUUCUAAAGUACAGCAAGAAGGCAAUACUGAUAAAAAGUCAACUUGAUAGUUGAUAAGUGCAUAAUUGGAGAUGCAUGUGAGUACUUCUCCAGCAUACCUAUUAUAGAUACAAGUUUAGAGAUUUGGUGGAGCUGGGUUGGCAUGAAAUCACAAGAAUGAUAUAUGUCCUGAGAAUUUUCCUGUAUGGAGAAAGUGAGCUUUAGAAACUACAAAUAUAAUGGGAAUCUCCAUUGACAAUGGUGAUGCUCUUUCAUUCUUGUCAUUUCAUGUUUAUUAAUUUUUGUUAUAGUUUAGUAUUCAACAUGCUUGAGCUUGGAGAAAUGUAAAAGAACCUUAAUGCUUUAUGUCUUUGUUAAGUGCAACUGAAGAAUUACUUAGAUAUCUGCUGCCAACUGCUUGAUGAUCGAGUUUGAUGAAUGAGUUACAAUCUGUUCAUUUUUGCUA
Molecule: long non-coding RNA, 692 nt
Organism: Gossypium arboreum
Lineage: Eukaryota; Viridiplantae; Streptophyta; Magnoliopsida; Malvales; Malvaceae
Exons: 2
Source: RefSeq, a predicted model, not a curated record